Molecule: small RNA, 107 nt
Filed under: Salmonella enterica subsp. enterica serovar Thompson
Lineage: Bacteria; Pseudomonadati; Pseudomonadota; Gammaproteobacteria; Enterobacterales; Enterobacteriaceae
Also listed under: 7 other names
Description: RtT sRNA
Rfam family: RtT RNA
About the family: This family represents a bacterial cis-regulatory element known as RtT RNA.
Source: RNAcentral
UGACGAGGAUGAGAACCUCCGGGGGCAAGAGGUUCGACUCGAGCGAAGCGAGAGAACGUUGCGUCAGCAACGGCCCGCAGUGGCAAGUCAUCCUCUGUCACCGGCAG